AAAGAGGUCAUUAUCAUAAAGUGAUAAGAAUUUAUUUGUAAUAAAUAAAUAAACUUAGAGUAAACCUUGGCUAAAAUAAAUACACACAUGUACAGGAUAACAAUCUAAUCACUACACGUGGAAAUGUCUUGGAACGCAUUAACAUCCACAUACAAGGCAAUGCGUUUCCUCUAUUGAAAGUUAAAGAACGUUACUUUUUUGCAUAUUCCAUGUUUUUAUCUUCAAGUGAGAAAGACUAAAUGGUUACUUAUUGUCCAACUUUUGUGCAGUUUAAUGACAGUAGUUGUUGAACCUUCCAUUACAACAAAUGUUUCCUUGGACCCUUGAGAUAAACGCAAGUAGAUCUACCUCUUGGUCUGUGGGGACCAUCCUCUGCAGCAGUUCCACGUUCUCCAGCGAGACCUGCUUCAAGUCCAGAGCGUUGACGGCAGAUAUCACUUUGUCCACUGACAUCUCUAUCUUGCGUCUAGAGAUGGCUGUAACACAGUAAAAUGGCUGUUUACAUGUUCCGACGUGUUGAAUUACAAGGGUGACUGCAACAAUAAGCGAAUGGCUCACCAAUGUUGCGAAGCCUGGUGUGUUCCAGCAGGGAGACGGUCUCGGGUUUCUUGAACCGUUUGCUGGGCUGCGAGGUGAGACCGUCCACCUCGUGUGUGCCG
Long non-coding RNA from Homalodisca vitripennis (glassy-winged sharpshooter), 659 nucleotides. RefSeq lists it as uncharacterized. The transcript has 3 exons. Lineage: Eukaryota; Metazoa; Arthropoda; Insecta; Hemiptera; Cicadellidae. The record is from RefSeq and is a predicted model, not a curated record.